AUUGAACGCUAGCGGCCGGCCUAACACAUGCAAGUCGAACGAGUGGCGGACGGGUGAGUAAUGUCUGGGAAACUGCCCGAUGGAGAGGGAUAACUACUGGAAACGGUAGCUAAUACCGCAUACCAUCGGAUGUGCCCAGAGGGGAUUAGCUAGUAGGUGGGGUAAUGGCUCACCUAGGCGACGAUCCCUAGCUGGUCUGAGAGGAUGAGCAGCAACACGGGAACGGAGACACGGUCCAGACGAGUACGGGAGGCAGCAGGGGGGAAUAUUGCACAAUGGGCGCAAGCCUGAUGCAGCCAUGCCUGGUGUAUGAAGAAGGCCGUCGGGUUGUAAAGUACUUUCAGCGGGGAGGCGUUACACGCAGAAGAAGCACCGGCUAACGCCGUGCCAGCAGCCGCGGUAAUAC
Molecule: ribosomal RNA, 406 nt
Filed under: uncultured bacterium
Lineage: Bacteria
Description: partial 16S ribosomal RNA
Rfam family: Bacterial small subunit ribosomal RNA
Source: RNAcentral